This 73-nucleotide transfer RNA is filed under the name Myotis davidii. It matches the Rfam family "tRNA". Rfam says of the family: Transfer RNA (tRNA) molecules are approximately 80 nucleotides in length. Their secondary structure includes four short double-helical elements and three loops (D, anti-codon, and T loops). Further hydrogen bonds mediate the characteristic L-shaped molecular structure. tRNAs have two regions of fundamental functional importance: the anti-codon, which is responsible for specific mRNA codon recognition, and the 3' end, to which the tRNAs corresponding amino acid is attached (by aminoacyl-tRNA synthetases). tRNAs cope with the degeneracy of the genetic code in two manners: having more than one tRNA (with a specific anti-codon) for a particular amino acid; and 'wobble' base-pairing, i.e. permitting non-standard base-pairing at the 3rd anti-codon position. Lineage: Eukaryota; Metazoa; Chordata; Mammalia; Chiroptera; Vespertilionidae. The record is from Rfam by way of RNAcentral.
GCCCGUGUUGCUCAGUGGAUAGAGCAUCAGCCUGCAAACCAAAGGGUCCCGGGUUCAAUUCCGGUCAAGGGCA